Molecule: ribosomal RNA, 1368 nt
Filed under: uncultured bacterium
Lineage: Bacteria
Description: bacterial SSU rRNA
Rfam family: Bacterial small subunit ribosomal RNA
Source: RNAcentral
GAGUUUGAUCCUGGCUCAGGACGAACGCUGGCGGCGCGCCUAACACAUGCAAGUCGAACGAGCGAGAGAGAGCUUGCUUUCUCGAGCGAGUGGCGAACGGGUGAGUAACGCGUGAGGAACCUGCCUCAAAGAGGGGGACAACAGUUGGAAACGACUGCUAAUACCGCAUAAGCCCACGGCUCGGCAUCGAGCAGAGGGAAAAGGAGCAAUCCGCUUUGAGAUGGCCUCGCGUCCGAUUAGCUAGUUGGUGAGGUAAUGGCCCACCAAGGCGACGAUCGGUAGCCGGACUGAGAGGUUGAACGGCCACGUUGGGACUGAGACACGGCCCAAACUCCUACGGGAGGCAGCAGUGGGGAAUAUUGCACAAUGGGGGAAACCCUGAUGCAGCGACGCCGCGUGGAGGAAGAAGGUCUUCGGAUUGUAAACUCCUGUUGUUGAGGAAGAUAAUGACGGUACUCAACAAGGAAGUGACGGCUAACUACGUGCCAGCAGCCGCGGUAAAACGUAGGUCACAAGCGUUGUCCGGAGUUACUGGGUGUAAAGGGAGCGCAGGCGGGAAGACAAGUUGGAAGUGAAAUCUAUGGGCUCAACCCAUAAACUGCUUUCAAAACUGUUUUUCUUGAGUAGUGCAGAGGUAGGCGGAAUUCCCGGUGUAGCGGUGGAAUGCGUAGAUAUCGGGAGGAACACCAGUGGCGAAGGCGGCCUACUGGGCACCAACUGACGCUGAGGCUCGAAAGUGUGGGUAGCAAACAGGAUUAGAUACCCUGGUAGUCCACACCGUAAACGAUGAUUACUAGGUGUUGGAGGAUUGACCCCUUCAGUGCCGCAGUUAACACAAUAAGUAAUCCACCUGGGGAGUACGACCGCAAGGUUGAAACUCAAAGGAAUUGACGGGGGCCCGCACAAGCAGUGGAGUAUGUGGUUUAAUUCGACGCAACGCGAAGAACCUUACCAAGUCUUGACAUCCCUUGACGAUGCUGGAAACAGUAUUUCUCUUCGGAGCAAGGAGACAGGUGGUGCAUGGUUGUCGUCAGCUCGUGUCGUGAGAUGUUGGGUUAAGUCCCGCAACGAGCGCAACCCUUACUGUCAGUUACUACGCAAGAGGACUCUGGCAGGACUGCCGUUGACAAAACGGAGGAAGGUGGGGAUGACGUCAAAUCAUCAUGCCCUUUAUGACUUGGGCUACACACGUACUACAAUGGCGUUAAACAAAGAGAAGCAAGACCGCGAGGUGGAGCAAAACUCAGAAACAACGUCCCAGUUCGGACUGCAGGCUGCAACUCGCCUGCACGAAGUCGGAAUUGCUAGUAAUCGUGGAUCAGCAUGCCACGGUGAAUACGUUCCCGGGCCUUGUACACACCGCCCGUC